AGCGCAGGUGGGCUGUCAAGUCUGUCUUAAAAGUGCGGGGCUUAACCCCGUGAUGGGAUAGAAACUGGCAGUCUUGAGUGCAGGAGAGGAAAGCGGAAUUCCUAGUGUAGCGGUGAAAUGCGUAGAUAUUAGGAGGAACACCAGGGCGAAGGCGGCUUUCUGGACUGUAACUGACACUGAGGCUCGAAAGCCAGGGGAGCGAACG
RNAcentral lists this ribosomal RNA (205 nucleotides) under uncultured bacterium. Its description in RNAcentral is "partial 16S ribosomal RNA". It matches the Rfam family "Bacterial small subunit ribosomal RNA", at positions 568 to 774 of the family's 1533-position model. The record is from RNAcentral.